This 233-nucleotide ribosomal RNA is filed under the name Clostridioides difficile. RNAcentral describes it as "partial 23S ribosomal RNA". It matches the Rfam family "Bacterial large subunit ribosomal RNA", at positions 662 to 894 of the family's 2925-position model. Lineage: Bacteria; Bacillati; Bacillota; Clostridia; Peptostreptococcales; Peptostreptococcaceae. The record is from RNAcentral.
GGAGCCGUAGCGAAAGCGAGUUUUAACUGAGCGUUCAGUUACUUGACGUAGACCCGAAACCGGGCGACCUACCCAUGAGCAGGAUGAAGCGAAAGUAAAAUUUCGGGGAGGUCCGAACCCACGAGCGUUGAAAAGCUCGGGGAUGACUUGUGGGUAGCGGUGAAAUUCCAAUCGAGCCCGGAGAUAGCUGGUUCUCCCCGAAAUAGCUUUAGGGCUAGCCUCAAGGUGAGAGA